UAUGCCAUUAAAAUAUUUGUGCCCUAAAAAUAACUGCAUCAUAUGGUACCGGUUUAUAAUUUAAUCAGCAUCAUAAUGUGCUAUGUUCAUAACAAAUAUAUAUUAUAUUUGUUUUAGCAUUUUUGCUUUUAAAAUACAAGCUUAUGUAAUCUGCAAUUGGCAUAUCAUUUUCUUUGAUGGUGUGGACUUCCUUGUUUACACCAUAGACAUAUAUAACAGUUUACACAACAAAGAAAUAUCAAUUUUGAUAUAGUAAGAUGAGAAAAAAGACUUCAUUUAUUGGUAUUACAAAGGUAAUUAAAAGUAAUUAAAAGUGAGGCCGAAACGACUAGGGCCGAAACGACAUUAGGCCGAAACUACUAACGGCCGAAAAAACUUGGGGCCGAACUGAAAAAAGGCCGAAACGACCAGAAAUCUUAUUUUCUGUGUUAUAUAGUAUCAGAUCAGUGUAUCAUUAUUUUCUGUGUUAUAUAGUAUCAGAUCAGUGUAUCAUUAUUUUCUGUGUUAUAUAGUAUCAGAUCAGUGUAUCAUUAUUUUCUGUUCUUAUUUUUCCUGGUCACAGAUUAUAAAAUGAAUAAUCAAAUUCAAAGUCGAAAAAAAAAAAAAAAAAAAAACCCAACAACAUUCAGUGAGAAUUUUAAAGCUGCAUUAUUUUGUAUAACGCUCUAGUCUCAUAAUCAAGUUUUUGCUUUGUUAUUAUUAAAAUACCCUAGUUAAAGUAUUCAACUCACGACUCAAACAUGCAUGUCUCUUGAUUGGAUGAUCAAAUUAUCCCCUAAUUAUUUCACUGUAUCUACUAUCUAAUAGUGAUACUGACAUAUCCCAAGAUUUACAAAUGCAUUUAAUCAAAAUACGUACCCCCUCCCUCCACACACACAACCAAUCCCUAAAGCAAAUACAUAUAUAUAGCCGUAAAAUCUGUAUUCAUCUCAUGAAUCACAUUAAUAUUUAUUGGAGUUGUUCGUUAUUAGUCUUGUUGAGUACUUUUUGGGUCCUUUUGUGUUCUCUUGGGUUCUUUUUGGGAAAAUCGACAUAUCGAUAUAUUCUCAACGUUUUAGUCUAACUAAUUUAUCUUUAUUUGUGUGUGUGUGUUUUUUUUUUUUUUGGUUGUUUUUUAUUUGUUAUUCAUCUAUUCAGUUUUGUUUUACUUUGGAAUUUAACACACCCUAAAUUCCACCCCCUUUUAAAAAAUAAUACGAAUAAUUUCAUGUUACUAUCCGGAAAUAAAUUCCGAAUAUGCUUUACGUCUUACAAUUUUGGGACACCUAUCGGGAAAAAUAACAAUGGCCGGCCAAACUUCGUGUACAACAGACAGAACAGAAAGCAGUUGACGAAGAUGGAAGAUGACGACAGAAAACAGAAACUAAAGGCCGGAAAACAGAAGUUGGCAGAAUUUCAGAAGAAAAGAAAGAAAAAGAAAAGCUUGCCACAAGAAGAAGAUGAAAAAGAAA
This is a long non-coding RNA of Ostrea edulis (European flat oyster), 1451 nucleotides long. RefSeq lists it as uncharacterized. NCBI's taxonomy places the organism in Eukaryota, Metazoa, Mollusca, Bivalvia, Ostreida, Ostreidae. The record is from RefSeq and is a predicted model, not a curated record. The transcript is spliced from 2 exons.